Molecule: long non-coding RNA, 798 nt
Filed under: Homo sapiens (human)
Lineage: Eukaryota; Metazoa; Chordata; Mammalia; Primates; Hominidae
Description: lung cancer associated transcript 1
Source: RNAcentral
AAUCAACACUCCACUCAGACAAUGCCCAGACCUCCAGAAACCAUGUGUCAAGCUCGGAUUGCCUUAGACAGAAGCUCACCCAGCUGGAACUCUUAUGGGACCUUGGCACCAGAGACCACAAAUUCCUCUUUGAAGUUUUCUAACAGCAACAAUGGUAUUUCUGACUUGGCUUUCUUGUAUUUCUCUCACGUUAACAAAAUUGGUUCAGCAUCUACCAUGGGCUACAUGCUGAGCUACAGAGUUUCGCUCUGUCGCCCAGGCUGGAGUGCAGUGGCGCGCGAUCUCGGUUCACUGCAAGCUCCACCUCCCGGGUUCACGCCAUUCUCCUGCCUCAGCCUCCUGAGUAGCUGGGACUACAGGCGCCCGCCACCACACCCAGAUACAUGAAAAGAAAGAAGGAGAGAAGGAAGAAAGGAGGGCGGAAGGAAAGGAAGAAGGGAGAGAAGAAGAGAAGAAAGAAGCAGAGAAAGGAAGAGAAAAGAAAUUACGGCCAGUGCGGUGGCUCACGCCUGUAAUCCUAGCACUUUGGGAGGCCUAAGCGGGCUGAUCACCUGAGGUCAGGAGUUCGUAAGCCAGCCUGGCCAACAUGGUGAAACCCUAUCUCUACUAAAAAUACAAAAAUCAGCAGGGCAUGGUGGUGCGUGCCUGUAAUCCCAGCUACCUGGGAGGCUGAGGUAGGAGAAUCGCUGGAACCCGAGAGGCGGAGGCUGCAGUGAGUUGAGAUCAUGUCACUGCACUCCAGGCUGGGCAACAGAGUGAGACUCUGUCUCAGAAAAAAAAAAAAAGAAAGAAAGAAAG